GUGGAUAGGAGACAAUAAAUGGGAUCAAGGGAAGUUGGUCGGGCUCCAGCGGCACAUGCUUACCACUGCUGACUGUUGCCGGGAAAGGUAUGUUGGUUUGAUUCUUUCAAGAUCCCAAACUAAAACAAGUCACCUGUGACAUUUGAAUGAUGCAAAGGUUUGUUGUCUCUUCCCAAGAAAUUGUGUGCAGAGAAGCUGCCUUGAUUUUACAUGCUGAACCUAUUUUUGCAUAAUCAAACACUGACGAUAAGAGAGAUGAAUGUGCAGUAUGCUAAAUUUGGGUAUCCAAUUGCAAAAGAAUUGGAUUAUUAUUUACAUUAGAAGCCAGGUUAUCACUAUGUAUUUUAAAUUGAUCGCUCAUGGACCGCUCAAUUGGCCAUAAACACAACAUAAUUCGAUCCCUCCCUUCAAAUUGGCAACUAAAGGGAAGGUGAGUUAAAAUGUCUCAGCCCCUGUGACCUGGCUGGUUAUGUUUAUAUUACAUCCAAUAUUAUGUGUACUCAUUUGAUCUAAGGUUAUUUUUAAUAACUUGUUUUUUUGUCACGAACAAAUCGAUGAACCGGCAGUCCAACCGGUGACAGACGCAACGGUUCAGUUGCCCGUUCGGUUUUAAAAAAUAUAGUCCGAUGGCCAUGGUGGAAGAACA
This 646-nucleotide ribosomal RNA is filed under the name Triticum aestivum (bread wheat). RNAcentral's name for it is "partial small subunit ribosomal RNA". The record is from RNAcentral. Lineage: Eukaryota; Viridiplantae; Streptophyta; Magnoliopsida; Poales; Poaceae.